CAGUGCUCGCUACACGUUACUUAGGACUUAUUUUCAAUACAAAAUGAAAUUCUUCAAACUUUCAAUCCGAUGUAUUGUUGCCACAUCCACUACGGUUGCGACUGUCAUUUUGUUACUACUGGGAAACUCGAUCGGCUACAUUAACAGUCUGAUUGUUUUUGCUGCAUUCUCAAUCUGUGGACUGGUGAUCGUUUUCAUUGAACUCGUUUGCAUGUUAGGUGUUUCGAUAUGCAAGACUCAACGUUUAGCGCCUGUGCACAUUGGUCGCAGUUCCAUCAACGAAGAAAUUGUUACCGAAAAUCCUGAACUGACUAAAAGCGAAAGACUCCAGCAAAAUCUGGACCUGUUUCUGCUGAAGAGUAGACUUGGCAAUAUUUGUAAAGCUGGACAACGGGCUCGGAUGCGCAUGAAAAAAACUUAUGUCGUCCAAUACGCUGACCUGAUGACGGACCUGUUUAUGUUUGCGAUUUACUUAACGAUAUUAACGUUGGUUGUGCUAAGCUCCCGGGACCGUUUUGCCUUUUAUAGCAUGCGAUCGUCGGUCAGACAAUUUAUGAGUCAGCGCUACUUCAAUAAUGAAACGCGAGAGCCAAUUGAUAAUGGAUUGCUUCUCGAAUAUUUGGAAUUUGAUUUUUUGCCAACGAUACACACAGCAUCCAGCAAUCGAUCAUCAAACGGUUGGCUAAAGGACGAACGGAUGAAGAUCUUAGGAAUUGCCAGAUUAAGACAACAAAGAGUGAAGAAUGAUGUCUGUAAAUCCAAUGGUUUACUCACGACCAACAAUUGUCUGCCAGUGUUAGAUGAUAAAACUGAAGAUAGAACGAACUAUGACCCGUCCUGGAAAUCUCAGUCAAACAUUCGCUCGAAAGACAAAUAUUGGCGUAUUCUACAGCCGUGGAUCUACCAGAAUUCUUUUGAGUCGCAAACGAUUUCUCAGUUCGGUAAAACUAAGCUGUAUACAGGAGGCGGUUACGUAUGUAAUUUUGGUCGAACCAUGGCCAAUAGUUUGGUAGUUCUCAAGUUUCUAAGAAAACACAACUGGAUCGAUGCACGAACGAGAGUGGUUUUUAUUGAGUUCACCACUUAUGGGGUCGAUUCGAACCUCUUCAACGUAAUUACAUUGAUUGCCGAAAGAACUCAGGUCGGAUACUUCGAAUUGAGCUACAACAUUCAGUCCGUUCAGUUGCUUACGAUCAUUGAAAAUCUGUCUGCAGCCACGAUAUUCAUUUUCAUGUCUUACGUGGCGAUAGUCAUCGCAUUUAUAUGGCGAAUUGUUGUGAAUUUGUUGCAAUCGAACCGGCGGCAAUACUUUACAGAAAUGUGGAACAUUGUCGACCUGAUCAUUGUGGCACAAAGUGUGGGUGUCGUUACAAUAUUUUUCGUUCGAAACGAAUAUGUGCGGUCGUUGCUGCGAUUGUUGGAUGAAACACGAAACAAUGAAUUCGUAAGCUUCGUUUAUGCCGGACUAUUGGAUCAAUUUCUGCUGUGGUGGACUGGUGUCUUGGUCUGCAUCAGUACGAUCCGAAUUUGGAAGAUUUUGAAUUUCAUUUUCAUUUUUCGCGUCUUCUCGACGACACUAGUCAAUGCGGCUAAGGAUCUAGCUGCUUCGACCGUUAUAACGUUCCUGUUUCUUGCAUGCUUCGCUACGCUAUUCUACCAAUUGAAUAGUUCCAAGUCCGCAUCAUUUUCGUCAAUGACAAAAUCCUUUUCGUCCUUGCUUGCCAUUUUAUUCGGGUUCAUCACGGACCGACUGAGUUCUACCGAAAUUUUCUCGGGCAGCAAUUGGCUUGAGUUGCUGCUAUUCAUUGUUUCGCUGAGCGCCAUUGCCAUCUAUCUGAUGAAUAUGAUCAUCACCAUUUCGUGCAAUUACUUUUCGAAUGUGCGUAACGAGGCGAAAUCGAUUGUGCAGGAAAAGUUUUCGUUCUGGGACUUUUUGCGCGGGGAAUUCCACGUGCUCCGAGAUAAACGUACCGCCGGAACAGUAAGGAAUUUGAACUAUGCGUCGGUUAGAAGAAGCAAAGAGCGAUUGGUGCAAUUGGAGAAGAAAUUGAGCAGAACGAUGGAGUCGAUGGAAGAAAUACUUUCUCGUUAAGUAUCGGAGUAUCUUACAUAAAACUGAAAGGAAAGCGAAAGUGAUUUGAUUGUUUGUGUUAGUAGCAUGAGUUUUCAGGUGGAACAUUGAAAUAUUCGUACCACCCGCUUCCAUAUAGUCCGAAGCAAUGCCAUCUAUCUGUCAAUUAUUUACUACAUUUUCAUCAGCUGACUAAAAAAAAAAUCUCUGUGGUUCGGAGUGCUUGGCCACCCUAUAAUAAAUGUCCAAUGACUUAUGUUUACAAUCCCGCUUCAGUGUCAACGGUUUGUUUAUAAAUAUCACGAGUGGAAAAUGGGGAAUUCGAAAUAAAUUUUCCCGAAACCGUUGCAUCUCAACGCUCCAAAUGACAUCACUACUAAAAAAGUCAAUGGAAGACCAAGCAAUCGACCGGAUUUUAGCCGAAAUCGCUCAAAUAAUCUUCAAGUGUAAAUUCUGUGAUUUCAUAACCGACGAGAAACUGCUGUUGGUCGCCCACUACCGUUCCAAUCAUGUCAAAUCGACUCCGACCUACAAUGAUCCGGUGGUCAGCGAACCACCACCAGCAGAACUGGACGAGCGUUACGUGUGUAGUCUGUGUUUUUCCGUGUUCGUGUCCCGGCAAUUAGUGAAAGAUCAUAUGAUUACCGAUCAUGGUUGCAUUCCAAUUGUUCAUGAGCCCAGUCCUCAGCAAAUUGCUCCGCCAUUGGAAGUGGUCGAGCCGAAUAGUAGGAAGGACACGGACAAAGAACUGCAUCGACCGAUAUCGUUGAGGGAGCUGCAAUUGAAGCUGAAAAGUUCAUUUGUAUUGAAGUGCUCGGUUAAAGGCUGUAGUAAGCGCUUUGAAACGGAAGAUAGUAAAUCGUAUCAUGAACGAUGCCAUACCCUCAACAACAACGAAUUCAAAUGCUUUGAAUGUCAGGCUGUCGCUAAGACCUGGCGCAACUGUUCAGCGCAUCUGUACAAACACCACAAAAUCGACGUUGACCUACUCAAGUGCAUUUUCUGCUCGUACAAAG
Unclassified non-coding RNA from Bradysia coprophila, 3087 nucleotides. Lineage: Eukaryota; Metazoa; Arthropoda; Insecta; Diptera; Sciaridae. The record is from RefSeq and is a predicted model, not a curated record.